GCGCCCAUAGCUCAUUGGCAGAGCAAUCAGUUUAUGCAGCUGACGUGUAGGGGGUUCGAUUCCCUCUCGGCGCACCA
Molecule: transfer RNA, 77 nt
Filed under: Candidatus Fermentibacterota bacterium
Lineage: Bacteria; Pseudomonadati; Candidatus Fermentibacterota
Description: Candidatus Fermentibacteria bacterium tRNA-Ile
Rfam family: tRNA
About the family: Transfer RNA (tRNA) molecules are approximately 80 nucleotides in length. Their secondary structure includes four short double-helical elements and three loops (D, anti-codon, and T loops). Further hydrogen bonds mediate the characteristic L-shaped molecular structure. tRNAs have two regions of fundamental functional importance: the anti-codon, which is responsible for specific mRNA codon recognition, and the 3' end, to which the tRNAs corresponding amino acid is attached (by aminoacyl-tRNA synthetases). tRNAs cope with the degeneracy of the genetic code in two manners: having more than one tRNA (with a specific anti-codon) for a particular amino acid; and 'wobble' base-pairing, i.e. permitting non-standard base-pairing at the 3rd anti-codon position.
Source: RNAcentral